Long non-coding RNA from Oncorhynchus keta (chum salmon), 477 nucleotides. RefSeq lists it as uncharacterized. The record is from RefSeq and is a predicted model, not a curated record. Lineage: Eukaryota; Metazoa; Chordata; Actinopteri; Salmoniformes; Salmonidae. The transcript is spliced from 4 exons.
CAGGUUUAUUGUAUUUUACAGACCAGGAGGAACAGGUUUAUUGUAUUUUACAGACCAGGAGGAACAGGUUUAUUGUAUUAAACAGACCAGGAGGAACAGGUUUAUUGUAUUUUACAGACUAGACCAGGAGGAACAGGUUUAUUGUAUUUUACAGACCAGGAGGAACAGGUUUAUUGUAUUUUACAGACUAGACCAGGAGGAACAGGUUUAUUGUAUUUUACAGACUAGACCAGGAGGAACAGGUUUAUUGUAUUUUACAGACCAGGAGGAACAGGUUUAUUGUAUUUUACAGACUAGACCAGGAGGAACAGGUUUAUUGUAUUUUACAGACUAGACCAGGAGGAACAGGUUUAUUGUAUUUUACAGACCAGGAGGAACAGGUUUAUUGUAUUUUACAGACUAGACCAGGAGGAACAGGUUUAUUGUAUUUUACAGACCAGGAGGAACAGGUUUAUUGUAUUUUACAGACCAGGAGGA